This 518-nucleotide ribosomal RNA is filed under the name Macaca fascicularis (crab-eating macaque). Its description in RNAcentral is "partial 12S ribosomal RNA". It matches the Rfam family "Bacterial small subunit ribosomal RNA", at positions 789 to 1533 of the family's 1533-position model. Lineage: Eukaryota; Metazoa; Chordata; Mammalia; Primates; Cercopithecidae. The record is from RNAcentral.
ACUAUGCUUGGCCCUAAACCUCAGUAGUUAGAUAACAAAACUACUCGCCAGAAUACUACAAGCAACAGCUUAAAACUCAAAGGACUUGACGGUGCUUUACAUCCCCCUAGAGGAGCCUGUUCCGUAAUCGAUAAACCCCGAUCUACCCCACCCUCUCUUGCUCAGCCUAUAUACCGCCAUCUUCAGCAAACCCUAAUGAAGGCUACAAAGUGAGCGCAAACGCCACUGCCGCGAAUACGUUAGGUCAAGGUGUAGCCCAUGAGACGGUAAAAAAUGGGCUACAUUUUCUAUUUCAGAAAACCCCACGAAAACCCUUAUGAAACUUAAGGGUCCAAGGAGGAUUUAGCAGUAAAUUAAGAAUAGAGUGCUUAAUUGAACUAGGCCAUAAAGCGCGCACACACCGCCCGUCACUCCUCUCAAAUAUAUUUAAGGAAUACCCUAACUAAACGCCCUAAUAUUUAUAUAGAGAGGAUAAGUCGUAACAUGGUAAGCGUACUGGAAGGUGCGCUUGGAUAAAU